Oncorhynchus gorbuscha (pink salmon) is the source of this 174-nucleotide long non-coding RNA. RefSeq lists it as uncharacterized. The transcript is spliced from 3 exons. The record is from RefSeq and is a predicted model, not a curated record. Lineage: Eukaryota; Metazoa; Chordata; Actinopteri; Salmoniformes; Salmonidae.
GAGCAUCAGUAUUUGUGGGUUCGAUUACAAGCUCAAAAUGAACCAUAUAAACAGAACACAAUGGAUGAACACUUAUAUUGUUGCUCACGGUCCUCCCUGCAAUUUGAUCAGCUGCCCGUCUGCCUUAGCUGCCUGAGCUGCCCGCCUGUCUGAACUGCUUGCCUGAGCUGCCCG